RNAcentral lists this non-coding RNA (24 nucleotides) under Arabidopsis thaliana (thale cress). Lineage: Eukaryota; Viridiplantae; Streptophyta; Magnoliopsida; Brassicales; Brassicaceae. The record is from RNAcentral.
AGAUGUCUGGUUGAGUGGGGAAUG